AUGGGUGGAGGAAUGGAAGCAAACAAGAACAAAUACAUAGAAGAAUGGGGAGCUGUUAGAGAGAAUCUGGAACACAAUUUCCGUUGGACUCGCCGCAAUCUUCUCCUCGUUGGUAUCUUCGGUCUCGCUGUUCCCGUACUCGUCUACAAAGGCAUCGUCAAGGAAUUCCAUAUGCAAGAUGAAGAUAACGGCAGACCAUACAGGAAGUUCAAGCCUUAA
Vicia faba (fava bean) is the source of this 219-nucleotide non-coding RNA. The record is from the annotation of a GenBank genome assembly. NCBI's taxonomy places the organism in Eukaryota, Viridiplantae, Streptophyta, Magnoliopsida, Fabales, Fabaceae.